UACAAAAUCAUGGCUUUUUGUUUUUAAACAGAGAGCUGGUAGUUAAAUAUGUAUCAGCACUUGGCUGAUUGGGUGGAAAGGUGGGCAGGCAGAGAGAGGGUAGGCAAGGAGCUGUCAGCUAAAGAAGGAAAAUCGGACUCACUGCUGUGGCAGCUCAGCGCCACCCUGUGGCCAAAGCUGAGAUGAACGGCCUCGCUGAUGAGUUUGUACUAUGACAGACAGCUCUUCUCUCUUCUGGGGUGUGUUCCACUCAUAGCAGGAAUGCGGGGUUGGGUUCUGGGAGGGCAGAGCAGGAAAAGAAAGUCUGGCCCUGACUGUGGCUUCUCCUUCCAGAGCAGACCCUGGGGCAGCCACAGUUACCAAGAUGCCCUUUCCUAAGCUCCGGGUAGAAGCCAGUAUGGCUCCUUGGUGAGGGCCCCCUGACCUGGCGGAAGGAUGUGUAGCCUUGGACCCUGCCUUCCUAGUAGCAGCUAGAAUGAAAAGCCCAGACCACUGCUGGGCGGCUGCUCCUCCAUUGCUAAGAUGACCACGGCUACGGCACCUCCCCAGAAAUGCCUCCAGCAGAAAUGACAGCUUUGCUGAAGGCAGGGGGCCUACAGUCUGUGCUCAGCUGCCCUCACAACCCACCUUCUACACCAGGACCUAAACCAACCGAAGGCCAGCCUUCCAGAAGGUAUCAGGGGAGGCUGAAUGGCCCUCCCACUGCUCAGACCAGGAGGUAGGACGGGAGGGGAAAAUCUUUAAGCACCUAAGGAGUGAGUAAAAUCUCAAGACAGCCCUAGGGUGGACCCUGCCCCUUCAGUGCAGGGGCAGAAAGAACACCCAGCUUGCCGAGGGUGCACCUCAGCCUUCCUCAGAUGUGCGUGUGCACUGGCAGUGGGAUCAUACACUACUCAGCACAAGGGGUGCCACUGUCCCACCUGCCCUGCAGGCCAUGAGCAACAGGUAAGUAGGCUGAGAGGGGAUAAUGAGGGGAUGAAGGGUGGCCAGAAAUAGUAGAGGUGAUCUAGGUGUGUAGUUUUCACUGGAGUCUGAAGGUUCAGAGCAGGAGAGGUGAGGAAUACAUUCCACUUUCCUCUUUCUGCCAGCACUGGCACAGCCUUGGCCUGUGCUCUGCAGCAGCAGCUGCCUUUGUCUGCUAAGCUCAGACCUUCCCCAGGCCUCCUGGACCUCUGUGCCUACCCUGCUCCUCGUGCGGCUUCAGCUUUGUCUCCCAAGUCUCUGUCCCUCUCCUUGCUUCAGUGUCCCAAGAUACUUUUAAGGUAGAACAGUCUGGGAGCUGGCCAGUCCCAACCAGUUCUCCACCCACCCCCGCCAUGUGUCUACUGCCUGCCACCCGAAUGAUCAGUCAGCCCGCCAUCACUGUCAGGACACAUCCAAAGGUGGGAGGUGGAACCCAGACUCCCUCACAGGCCAGCUAAUACUUUAGCCCUGUCGACCCCAAUCAGUCCUAUAAAUAGUAGACCUGAUAAUUAUUUUUGUUAUUUAUGGAAAAAAAUAUACUAUUAAGUACAUCUGGACAUUUACCAGUCUAAUAAGUAGAACUCUACUGCCGCCACCUCCUGGGGCCCUAUCCUUGGGCUAGACCUGCUCAGGCCACUGAGACAGGGUUGGUUGUAUAUACUGGCACAACUGAAUGUCUUAGAUGCUAGAAAUGCAAAUGAAACUGUCUUGGGUAUCAUACGGCCAGUCACUUUUUUCCUAAAAAAAAGGACGGUUAGCUCAAAAAAGGGAGGUGGUAAGUGAAGUCACGUAGUGAAUCAAAGGUAGGUCCUGGCCCAGUGCUUGCUGCACAUCCAGGUUAGGCUCAUUUCAAAUCAGCAGCCCUGGCUGCAAGUGACCUGAAUGCGGCUGCACGUGGAGGGGUGAAAGGCCUCUCCUCUCUUUCAUCCUGUUCUCCCUGAAAUCCCAGGUCUGUGUAGUUGGGCAAGAUCAAGCCCUCACCCUUCUCCAGACCCUCACCCUGCUCCAGAGUGUGUCCCAAAGAGAGUCAGGGCCCGUUACCUCAGAACAGACCUGGUCCAGCAGUCACCUGGGAGAUGGAGUACAUUUCAGGGUCCCUCCUGGCAGCCGCUCAGCAGUCUCCAGGCAGGCGAGCGGGAGUGUAAGCACCCCCAAGGCACCUCCUGGGGGCGGUGCGGGGGUGGGGAGCCAGACUGACCCCUUCAAGAAAUCUACUUCAGACUUUCCUUGGGCAUCCUACCCCCUGGUUGCUUUAUAUCCCGCCUCCCCUGUGCCCCAGUCUUCUCACGUGCAAAAUGGAGGGGGGAAGUAGUGCUUAAGAGUCUACGUUUUGUGACAAAAACUUAAGACAGUGUAAAGUGUUUGGCCCAGGGCCUGGCACGGAGUGAAGGAGGGAGGACUUCAUCAAUAGGAACCACAAUGUGAUGACAUCCUACAGAAAAAAAUAUCACCCAGAAUCUUAUUCCAGGUCUUUGUGCAGGGAGGGGCUUCUCCAGUCACUCCACAUGCAGACUGGUAUUCAGAUGGGCAGCCGCAAACCAUCACAUGAAGAAAGUGGAGAGACUGGCACAGCAGAGCUGCUCAGAGAGAAACGGGGGAGACAACCCAAGGGAGAGGCAAGGAGCUGUGUGUGAGUGUGGGGGGUUAGGAAGGCCGAACACAAACAACUUUAGCUGUUUCUUAGGUAACGGGAGUAAGGAAACCCUCAUACACGGGAGCAUUCGUCUGGAUGUGAUGAGCCUAUGGCUAUCAUUAAGACAGUGUGGACACCAAGGUCCGCAGAACAACACGGUAUGAAACAUAACGUGAAAGAGACUUGGUCGAGUUAGAAGUGAUGCUGUACAUUUAAAAGACUAGAAACUGAAGAGUGAAGUGUUCUCCUUAUAUCUUAAAGCCAAUCAAAUGUGAUCAGUUCAAAACUCAAAACCUCAAAAAUGCCUUGUUCACUACAUCUCAGGAAAGGGACUGAAUUCCUUGAGAACACUAGAGUGUCUUUACAGAGGCAGCUCCCUCCAGUCAGCUUUUCCUUCAAGGAAAAGGGCAGGAAUCAGGUAGAGCUGACAGCAUUUUCUGUCCAAGGUCACAAAAUACUAAAGUGAAAACACCAUCCUCCCCCCACCUCCCAGGUGGAGCUGCCACAGAAGGCAAGAAACAGGGCGCGAGAGAAAACGCACGAGGGCCAUCACUUUCCUCACAAAGCAGUGCUGGAAGCUGCCAGUUUGGGUGCACAUGGCCAGAGAUGCAGAAGUGCUCGGGGCUUUCCUGUAAAGACCGUGCUAUUCCACAAGCGGGAGAGUGCAGCUCACCCCAGUUACAGAGCACAAGAAAAGUAAAUAAGGGCAUUUUUCCCCCUCCACUAUUACCGACCAAAGAAGAGAUCCAGAUGAGGCCCUGCAGACUUGAGCCGAGAGUUCCUGGCUCUGUUCUGCCAGAGCUGGGUGACUCUGAGUAGGUUGCUUGACCUCCUGGAGCCUCUGCACCCUCCUCUAUAGGACGGAAAGACAGUUGUGAAGCUACUUCCUUAGAUGACAUGGGAAAACGUGAUGAGGACAAAGGUGAAUAUCGUUAAGAUGGGUCAAAAAAAGAAAUCUCAGUUUACAAACAGAAAAGUUUCAUCAUGAGGUUUCUUAAAUAGACCAUAUAGUACUUUUCAAACAUCUUUCAUACUUUGAUAGACAUUCCACAAUUUCUGUUCACAGAGGUACAGGCCUGAGUGUGUUCCCUACGUCCGUACGACGCGGCCACAGCAGGCCCCGGCAGAAAUGCCACGGGCUGCCACGAUGGCCAGACAGCUUGAGGGUGGGGUGCUCCAUCCAGAUGAGUUCAAUAAAAUGAGAAACUUACUGACAA
Long non-coding RNA from Camelus dromedarius (Arabian camel), 3813 nucleotides. RefSeq lists it as uncharacterized. The record is from RefSeq and is a predicted model, not a curated record. NCBI's taxonomy places the organism in Eukaryota, Metazoa, Chordata, Mammalia, Artiodactyla, Camelidae. The transcript has 2 exons.